Molecule: long non-coding RNA, 5973 nt
Organism: Sphaerodactylus townsendi
Lineage: Eukaryota; Metazoa; Chordata; Lepidosauria; Squamata; Sphaerodactylidae
Exons: 2
Source: RefSeq, a predicted model, not a curated record
GCGCCCGCCGCCCCUCCCUCCAAAGGAACGGGACGCACCAUCCCGCCCGGGAGAGGAGGGGGGUCGAGGACGGACACUCCCCCCUCUCCCCCACCUCCCGUUUAGACCGUCUCACUUCUUCGAAGCCUUCCUUGAAGGACUGACCGGACCUGCCUGGGGCGAUGAGACACCUUCUGGGAAGGGGGGACGUCUUGGGGAGGAAUGUCCCCAAUCCUUUCUUUCUUCCCCCCGAGAGUCAUUGAUUGCCCUUGGUAAAAAGUGUGUCUUCGCUUCACCCGCCGCACAUUUUGCAAGCCCCCCCGUUUCUCUUGCCACGCCAGGACCAUCAACAAUCCUGGUCUUCUCCUCGGGCAAGCUGAAAGAGGCACGUACGGGGAACUACAAACAAGGAAGCAAGACAGGAGCGAGAACCGCUGAGAGGGGCUUUCUUCUUGCAGCCAUCAGCAGAACCUUCCUUGUCGUCUCGUCGUGACAUUUGCCUCCAAUAAUCACCCAAGAUCAGGAAGAAUCGCUUAAGAACGCAGCAGGUGACGAUUAAACACCAUCAGGGAUCCUUUUUUCUUUUCCUCUCCGUGGGAAUCGGUGCUAGGAGCCGGCAAGAGGGAACAAACUAUAAUAGCUAGGAAGGAAUUUUAGUGAUUUUGGUCCUGGCCGAAAAAAGUCAUGCUCUGGAAGGAAGAGGAAAGGAUACAGCCAACCUGAUGCAGUUAGAUGAGGCAACCAAGUACUGGACCGUUAAAUCAUUGUUUCUCUGCCAGCCUAAUUCCUGGGGAAAGAUUGCGGCUUGCCUAAUUGCAAAUUGUCUAUUCACUGGACAGAGAAAUUUGGACGGCGAGGGGAUAAUAGAGGUAGUGACAGUUCAAACUCCUUUCUUUGCGCAUUGCAACCUCAAAAAGACUUAACUUGUGAGCCAAGUUGGUGUCCCUUGCUGUUUCUGUUUUGUUUUGUGAGCAUUUUGUUCUCCACCAGUAAGUCUCCCUCAUAAUUUAUUCCCCACAAUCCAUUAAAGAUGUGGGAUGGCAUGAAGGCUCAAUCCCUGUCACAUUGUGGAAGCAACGCUGGCAUCAGUGAAAAGCUGCAUCUCAUGUUUCUAAUCCUCUUAGCCAAUCAGAUCUCUUUAACAAAUAAUGGGCUUGGCGAUGAAGGAAUGAUGGAAGUCUGUUUAUGAAUAAGUCCUGUGUGCUGUACAAAGAAACCAGCACAUACUAAUCGUCUGAUCCUGACUCUUAUCCCCUGAGGUCUUUUUGGCACCAACGGCAAGAAGUAAUGAAGAGUUUAGCACCUUAUAGAGAACACUUCUAAAAGUGUCGAUGUAAAGUAAUUGUAGGAGGAUUGACUUUAGAUACAAAUACUUUUGAGAAUGUUUUGCAAAAAAAUAUAUAUAAGCAUCAAGAAUAUCAUAGUGGUACUUUUGAACGCAUACUCUUAUCAUAGAAGGAGUAAAUUUCCAAUUAUGUGAACAGGCUUAGUUUAAUUAUCGUCAAUUAACCGUAUGUUGUUGAAUUCUGAAUUGCAUUUUAAGUGCCAUCACUGUUUUCAAUAAUAAUUGUUUCAGCACAAUGCAUACCUGUUUCACUGGAUCUGCUGAGACUUGAACAUCUUAGCGUACAUUAGAACCACUUGCCUUUUAGCUUUGCAGAGAAAAUCAGAAAGAUGCAAAAUAAGUGUGUUUUGUGAAACGUGUCUCUAGGACUGGGCCAUUUGUCUGUACAACAUUAUGUCACUUCCUUCCUUCGGUGAUCCUAUUAUCAGGUGUCUGUACAGCUUGGCAAGCUCAUUUUUCAAAGGAGCAAAUAGAAGACAAAAGAUAUUACUACUACCUCAUUUACUGGCAAACUCUAACCGUGUGGGUCCUGCUGACUUCAGUUGUUCUUCCUAAUAAGUGUUAUUGGAUUGGCAGCCUUGAAAGUCAGUGGCCCCUUCCGCACAUCAGAAUAAUGUACUUUUAAUCCACUUUCACAAUUGUUUGAAAGUGGAUUUUGCUAUUACGCACAGUAAAAUCCAGCUGCAAAGUGCAUUGAAAGUGGAUUGAAAGAGCAUCAUUCUACAUGUUCAGAAGGGGCCAGUGUUAGACAAAUUCAUGGAUGAUGUGCGUCUGUCAAAACCAGGCAAACUUGAUUGCUAGUGGCAAUAUCAUAGUGGUACUUUUGAACAUGUACUCUUAUCAGAAGUAUCUUGCCCUUCUACCAAUCUCUACAGGGUGCUGCUUCCAUGGGAGAAAGGACCUUGAGGAAUGGCAUGAAGGAUGUCUAUUGUGGUAAGUGGAAACAGGUAGAAACAGCCAAUUUUGUCUGGACCUAACCCAUAGGCUUUAUAUCUCUAAAUUUCAGUUCUAGGAGUCGGUUGCUGUCAUGCUCAUCAUGUGGCAUUUCAGGGCAGGCUUCAUAGCAGAACGUAUGUGCUUUUCAUAAGGCUCUAGGUUCAAUCUUUGACUUGGAGUCAGUGUAGUGUAGUAAUCUAGGAUCUGGAAGACCUAGAUUCAGAUCCUCACUCUGCCAUGAAAGCAUGCUGGAAGAUCUUCACCCAAACACAUAAUCUUGGUCUAACCUACCUCACAGGAUUGUUGUGAGAAUAAUUCGGAGCAGAAUUAUGUACGCUACUCUUGAGUUCCCACUGGGGAGAGAGGUGGAGUACAAAUAAAUAGAUUUCUCUACUUGACAUAUUUCAAGGGAAAGAUCAAGUCUUGCUGAGAUCUUGAAGAGCUGCUACCAGUCAGAGUAGAGAAUACUAAAUAAGGGAGAUCAAAUAGGCAUGUGUUAGAUCAGUUAGGCACUUGAUCUGUUACAGCAGGUUGCCUCUUACAUUCUUGAACGUAUAGUAUUACGAAACUCUAGUCAAUUCUGUUAAAAUUCUGACUUCUAAUAGAGCAAAAGAGCCAUCGCUCAACAAGAAGAAAACACCUUUUAACAGAAGCAGCUUGAUGUCAAACUGCACCAGUCUAUCCUGCCUGUCUGGAACAUACUGUGCUUGAAGGACAAAAGGUGGAAUGCAAAGACCCUGAAGAGUAACUCACAGCUAGGGAGAUUCCUCAUAAUUUUAAUUUGUAUCAAAAGCUACAGAUCAGAUCAUGAGAUGGCUGUAAACUGAGUUACUAUUAACUUUCUUUGUCUUACCUGUAUCCUAUUAUUACCCAGAUCCCAUUGACAGACAAAUAUGGAUUCUCAAUCAGGUUCAAAGAAAAUCUGCCUCAGAACUAUGAGCUAAAGCUACUUAACUGCCAUAGGUUUCUUGGAACAGUGUCGGUCAAAAGAUUUUUUUUUAAGUGUGAUCAUUUCUUAAGGGCAACUGAAACAAUAUAAAACUGUGUAAACAAUUUGUGCCGUUUUGAUUGCCCUUAAAAGAUUUCCCCCUUUCACAGUUUUUCCAUUUUUUUAUUUAACUGGAUUUAUUCUGUUUGAUCAACUGAUCCUUAUAAUCAUGAUAAUUACAAAGCAUGCAAAGUAUUUUAUGCUUCCAGAGAAAAGCAAAGGUCAUUGAUAAGACAAUCAGAAUAAUCCCAUCCUUACAGACUGACCCCAUGCAUGUUUACUUUGUAAGAGUUCAACUGUGAUCAAUGGAUCAUACUAGCUAUGCAUCCAGCUACAAUUUAGAGCCAGACCUUCUGUGUGCUUGAGAAUAAGCUGUUUUGAUCUCAGAGAAUGGGAGUAAAACAUUUGUUGUUUUUUUAAUUUAUUUAAAAUAUUGCGAUAUCACUUUUUUUAGCUUUCCCAACAACUUACACUGCAUAAUUUAAAAUUAUACCAUACAUUCAAAUGAUUAAUGAUUUAAAUUAGCAAAAACAGCAGAAGUUUUAAAACCACAAAUCUAGGGCAGCACUUUAAAUCUUUAAAACCAGCAUGAAAGACCAAACAUGAUUGGGAUCCUGCUGUUUGUGGAGCUACUGUUUAAUAAUCUAAUAUCAGGUUGGCCUCCUUUUAUGUUACUAAUCCAUAAGAUAGCAAAAAUGUGGAUUUUCCCCCCUUAAAAGUCUUUACAAAUACAUUUAAGUCAUCAGUGCUGCCUAAAAAUAAUGUGACGAGUAUGAUCCAUAAAUGGUUUGAGCUGCCUCUUUUGCUUUAUCAGCAGCCUGUCAUUGCAGUCUUCCAGUCCAGAAAUCAGUUAAACUCAAAGAGCUGAGAUCCAGCUGAUGGGCCGCUUGGUUCUGUGAUCCUGCUAAGGCAAACAGCUGUGAAGUGAAUCUCAAUGAAGUCAGUGAGAUUUUCAUCUGGAAGCAAAUGCUUGUGAUUGCGCUGGUAAUUACUGCAAUGUCCUGUGUGCCAGCUUUCAGAUAAAGCAGACCAGGGUGGUGUUUAGUGAUCAGAAUGCUCAGCUGGGCCUGGGUAGAGUGAAGCCCCUUCCGCACAAGCAGAACUUUCAGUGCACUUUGCAGAUGAAUUUUACUGUGCAGAAUAGCCAAAUCCACUUGCAAACAAUUGUGACAGUGGAUUGAAAGUUCAUUAUUCUGAAUGUAUGGAAGGGGCCUAGGAUUCAACUCAUCCUGUCCUGAAGCUCAUUGGAUCGUCCUGAGCUAGUCGCCAUCUCUCUGUAUAGCCUAUCUCAUGGGGUUGUUAUGAGGCUUAAAUGGGAAGGGGAGAACUUUAUUACAUAAAUUUCUUAUUGAAUUCAGACAUUGAUGAAAGUCUCUUACCAUGCUGAGUAGCAGGGACAAAUAUUGCCCUUCUUCUAUGUUUAUUUUAUUUAUUUGUUGCCCAAAGGGCUCAGUGCGGCUACAACAGCAGUACAACAAUUCCAUUAAAAUCACAAUAAAUAAAUAGAUUAAAAUAGUAACCAUUUAACAAUAUUAAAUAAAACAGUCCAACUCCAGAUAGUGACUUGUCUUCUAUGCCCCCCCCCCCCCAGGAGGUCAAAGAAGAUGUUACAUCAAUGAACCCGGCUGGCCAUCAGGAAAGGCCCGGCAGAACAGCUUUGUCUUACAGACCCUGCGGAAACUACUCAAGUCCCGCAGGGCCCUGAUCUCAGUCUGGAGCAUGUUCCACCAGGUAGGGGCCAGUACCUAAAAUUAUUGAAUAUCCAAAAAAAAGGACACUUCAGUCUCUCAUUUCACAGCCGGCUUCUGAAGCACUCAGAAGGAAGAUCUUCCUCUCAUUACCAUGGUAUUUGAACCUUUCCAUGAGGUGAGAGACUGACAUCACCCCUCCCACAAAGCAGUGUCUUAUUUUCUAGAGAACUUGGGAGCAGUGUUCAUCUCAACAUGAGAGGUCCCUAAUGUCUUUGAGGAGUAUUGAAGUCAGUGGCAACCCACAUAAUGACUGGGAAGCUAGAAACACAGGCUUUUAGAAUUAGUCUAUAUUGUAGACAAUGCCAUCCAUUCUACAACUACAAUUAAGCAAUCUCCAAUUGUCUAUCAUGUGGCAUUAAAUAAACUCCUGAGUUGUCAUUGGACAUCUUUCUACCUUGCCAGCUCUGGAAAUGCUGAACAUCAUCUAGAAAGAUCUUGGCAUUUCCUAGGCCAAAAUAUGUCACCUGUUGCUUCGGUAUGCUACAGUAGUUCCUUGCCAGUGAUUACAAGAAAAGAAAGUUGCCUUUAUUUUCAGUCCCAUCUGCGAUUUUUUCAAUAUCCCCCAGUUACAAGAGUUGUGUUUAGAUAGCCCUCUGCAUUUGUCAAUACUCUGGGUAUCACAGCCACAAUUAUGCAUUUCAUUAAAACAUUUUAUGUUGGUUCAUUUCCAUUUAAGCAAGUCAAUACCACAUCUUCUGGGAUCAACACAGCAGUAGUUGUUGUGUAAUAAUGUGUAUAAUUUUAAUUCCUUAUAUCCACGUCCACCCCCCCAAGCAUCUGGUGUUUAUUUUGUUUCCCUGUGAAUUCAAGUUAAAGCAUUGUCCUUAACUGAUUUUCUCACUUUGACGGCUUGAGAGUGAUGGCUAAAUAUUGCUUCAAAAUGACUUUGGUACUCACUUCAGUUUUGUAAUAUAAGUGACUUAUUAAAAAGAAAAAGGAAGAGCUUAUGACUUCCUUUUGCCUCUGGCAAACUC